RNAcentral lists this ribosomal RNA (398 nucleotides) under uncultured bacterium. RNAcentral's name for it is "bacterial SSU rRNA". It matches the Rfam family "Bacterial small subunit ribosomal RNA", at positions 28 to 418 of the family's 1533-position model. The record is from RNAcentral.
GACGAACGCUGGCGGCGUGCUUAACACAUGCAAGUCGAGCGGUAAGGCCCUUUCGGGGGUACGACGAGCGGCGAACGGGUAGAGUAACACGUGGGUGACCUGCCCUCCAGCUCUGGGAGUAAGACCCGGGAAACCGUAGGGUCUAAUACUGGAUAUUACUCUGCGGUGCAUGCCGUGGGGUGGAAAGCCUUGUGCGGCUGGGGAUGGGCCCGCGGCCUAUCAGCUUGUUGGUGGGGUGAUGGCCACCAAGGCGACGACGGGUAGCCGGCCUGAGAGGGCGACCGGCCACACUGGGACUGAGACACGGCCCAGACUCCUACGGGAGGGCAGCAGUGGGGAAUAUUGGACAAUGGGCGGCAAGCCUGAUCCAGCCAUGCCGCGUGAGUGAUGAAGGCCUC